GGGGAUGUAUUUGGUUUCGACAGUAACAUAGAAAUAUAAAUAGCGAGUGGUGGAUUCGUCUGGCCACCUAAAAAAGGCGAAAACUAAAAUAAACGCUGAUAAUAGAGAAUUAGCAUUAGCUGCCUAAGAUAGGCGGUACAUCUUACCAAAAGCCCUACUCUUUUGGAUAAGGUGCAAAUUAAGUAGGAAACAAAGCUAUUUUAUGUUUCGGGAAUAGUGGGUAUCUUUAGAAACUACCGAAAAUUUAAAGUUUGUUUAUUAACUUGAAUUUUUGGGAAUAUCCAUUAAUAAACUGCACUCGGAGAAGUUUAUAUGGAAAUGUUAUUGGACAGGAGUUCGACUCUCCUCAUCUCCACCA
RNAcentral lists this transfer-messenger RNA (358 nucleotides) under Clostridia. Its description in RNAcentral is "JAAWPK01 sp944386135 Standard tmRNA". It matches the Rfam family "transfer-messenger RNA". Rfam says of the family: Bacterial tmRNA, also known as 10Sa RNA or SsrA, is named for its dual tRNA and mRNA-like properties. RNAcentral also lists the same sequence under 1 other name. The record is from RNAcentral. Lineage: Bacteria; Bacillati; Bacillota.